Molecule: ribosomal RNA, 229 nt
Filed under: uncultured bacterium
Lineage: Bacteria
Description: partial 16S ribosomal RNA
Rfam family: Bacterial small subunit ribosomal RNA
Source: RNAcentral
UCCGUAGGCGGGCAAUUAAGUCAGAGGUGAGAUCCCACAGCUCAACUGUGGAACUGCCUUUGAUACUGGUUGUCUUGAGUUAUAGUGAGGUAGAUAGAAUAUGUAGUGUAGCGGUGAAAUGCAUAGAUAUUACAUAGAAUACCGAUUGCGAAGGCAGUCUACUAACUGUAUACUGACGCUAAUGGACGAAAGCGUGGGGAGCGAACAGGAUUAGAUACCCUGGUAGUCC